RNAcentral lists this unclassified non-coding RNA (2960 nucleotides) under Hevea brasiliensis (rubber tree). Lineage: Eukaryota; Viridiplantae; Streptophyta; Magnoliopsida; Malpighiales; Euphorbiaceae. The record is from RNAcentral.
AAUGGUGGGUGGAACGCUUAAUGCAAGUGGCAAAUGCUACACAAACCAUAUCCUAAUAGUCUUGCCAUUGACCCUACGAAAUUAAUUAUUCAUCACCAAAGUCCACCUUGGAAGGAAAAGCGAAAGCAACUUUGUUGAUUGAACACUUAAAGUGGACCUCAAUAUAUGGAUUUCAAAGAAACACUACUGGAAUCAAUCGGUCAUACUGAGAAGAUGCUCCUGAAAAUUCUGCUUCUAUCCCUUCUCUUCCCAUUUUGCAUUGCCAUUGACACCAUAACUAAUAAUGAAUCACUCCCACACAGCGGUAUUUUACUCUCCAAAGAAAGCAAUUUUGCUCUGGGUUUUUUCAGCCCUGGCGGCUCAAGGUUUAAAUAUCUUGGCAUUUGGUACCAUAAACUACCAGGUCGAACCGUGGUAUGGGUUGCGAAUAGGGAGAAUCCAAUUGGUGAUUCCUCAGUAGCCCUCUCAAUGAGUUCAGAUGGAAACCUCGUGCUCCACGCCAGCACUGACCAAAAUUUUCCUAUAUGGUCCACGAAUGUUUCAUUAAAAGGAAGAGGUGCUUGUAAAGCUCGGCUCCUAGAUUCAGGCAAUCUGGUCUUGGUCCAAAGUGAGAGAAUUGUUUGGCAAAGCUUCGAUUAUCCUACAGAUACAAUGCUCCCAGGUAUUAAAUUAGGACUGGACCUGAAAAAUGGCUUCAACAGGUUCUUAACGUCAUGGAGAUCAGCAGAUGACCCAGCAAUUGGAGACUUCUCCUUCAAGCUGAAUCCUACAGGCUCACCACAGUUCUUUCUGUACAAGGGCUUAAUCCCAUACUGGCGAGGCAAGCCUUGGACUCCUUCUGUCUCAACAACAAUUCCCCAGUAUUUAUUCAAGUUUACUUUUACCAACACUGAAGAUGAGAUUUACUACAGUUACGCGGUUGAUGACAAAUCUGUUAUCAUAAGAACUGUGGUUGACAACUCUGGAUUGCUUCAGAGUCUCACUUGGGAUAAUGGUUCUCGCCAGUGGAAGCAAUCCUGGUGGGUACCCAAGUAUCCAUAUGGGCAUUGUGGCCCAUACAGCAUAUGCAACGCUAACAAUGUUGAUACAUCUGAGUGCACUUGCUUGCCCGGGUACAAACCCAAGUCCUUAAUGAAAUGGUAUUUCAGAGAUGCUUCUGCUGGGUGUUUAAGGAAGCAGCAACAAACAUCAAUGUGUAGAAACAGAGAGGGGUUUAUUAAGGUAGCAGGCGUGAAGUUUCCUGAUACUUCAAUAGCAUCCUUGAUGAACAAGAGCAUGAGCAGCUUUGGGUGCGAGCAAUUCUGCUUGAGGAAUUGUUCGUGCAAAGCUUUUGCAAGUUUAGAUUUUGGGAUGAAAGGGGUUUACUGCUGGACGUGGUACGGAGAGUUGAUGGACGUGAUGGAGUACACAGGGGGAAGUGACCUGUAUGUUCGUGUGGAUACAAUUGCGCUAGCUGAGGGUGAAAGCAAAUCCAAUCAUUUUCUUCAAAAGAAGGGAAAGCUGGUUGUUGUGGUACCAUCUUUCAUUUCUGCAUGGCUUGUCAUCAUCAUAUUCAUCUAUUUCUGGUUCUGGAGGAGGAGAAAAACAGGGAUAAGGAAUAACAUAUUGAGCAAGAAGAUAUUUGAUUCAAGUAUUGGCUCAAAUUACUAUGAAGAUUCUUUGGAGGAAAAUGGGCUUAGGGGAAGUAGGAAUCACCCAGACGUGAUAUAUUUUGAUUUCAGCACUGUUCUUGCUGCCACUAACAAUUUCUCUGCAACCAACAUACUUGGACAAGGUGGUUUUGGCUCUGUUUAUAUGGUAUGGUGUAGCUUCUCUGAGCUAUAUGUGUGUAUCUUUACUUGUAACUUGUGAGGUUCUGGGUAAGCAAACUGGCUUUAAAUUGGUUAUUCAUGAGUGACCUUACUCUUGCCACAUGCAUUCAGGGUAAGCUAUCUAAUGGACAGGAGAUAGCUGUAAAAAGAUUGUCAAAAAAUUCAAGACAAGGAAUUAGAGAAUUCAAAAAUGAAGUUAUGUUAAUUGCUCAGCUUCAACACCGGAAUCUUGUGAAACUACUAGGAUGUUGUAUUCAGGGAGAAGAACGAAUUUUAAUUUAUGAAUACUUGCCAAAUGGAAGCCUGGACUUAUUUAUUUUUGAUGAGACAAGAAAGUCAUGUUUGAGUUGGAAUAAACGCUUCAGUAUUAUUCUUGGGAUUGCCCGUGGAAUUUUAUAUCUUCAUGAGGAUUCGAGGUUGAGAGUUAUCCACAGAGAUUUAAAAAGUAGCAACAUCCUCUUAGAUGCAGAGAUGAAUCCCAAAAUUUCGGAUUUUGGAUUGGCAAAAGUACUCAAAGGUGAUCAAAUUCAAAAUAAGACGAGCAGAGUCGUUGGAACUUAUGGCUAUAUGUCCCCCGAGUAUGCAGUAUUUGGAAGAUUUUCUAUUAAGUCAGACGUCUUCAGUUUUGGAGUUGUAUUAUUGGAGAUUGUAAGUGGCAAGAAAAAUAAUGGUUUUAUUCAUGACCUUUCUCUGAGCUUGAUAGGACAUGUGUGGGAGCUAUGGAGAGAAGAUAGAGCACUGGAGAUAAUUGAUUCAUCGUUGAAAGAUUCAUACAAUCCUGAUGAAGCCCUGAGGUGCAUUCAAGUUGGACUCUUAUGUGUUCAAGAAGCUGCUUUAGAUAGACCAACUAUGUUACAAGUUGUUCUAAUGCUGAGUAGUGAAACAACUCUUCCUUCUCCAAAACAGCCUGCCUUCAUUUUCAGAAAAUCUUGCAGCAGUUCUAACUCAUCACUAAUGGGGGAAGAUGGGUCUGCAUGCUCUAUUAAUGAUGUGACGAUUACAGCAGUUACCACUCGCUAAUUUCAGAUCAAUUCAUUAUAUAAAAGAUUUAUUAUUAGUCAAGUGCAUUUGGAAGGUCUAAUAUCAAUUUCAUUUAAUUUUUGCUAUUGAAUAACUGUUUCAUUUUAAUUAGCUAUUCUUAGAUUCAAU